UUUCCGUAGGUGAACCUGCGGAAGGAUCAUUCAUAAUAAAGUGUUUUAUGGCACUUUUUAAAAAUCCAUAUCCACCUUGUGUGCAAUGUUAGAUCUCGUCAAUCUUGGCGAGAUUUUUAUACAUCAACUCAUUCUUUAACUAAUUUGUCUGAAAAAUAUUAUGAGUACUUAAUUCAAAAUAUAACUUUCAACAACGGAUCUCUUGGCUCUC
Molecule: unclassified non-coding RNA, 211 nt
Filed under: plant metagenome
Description: partial contains small subunit ribosomal RNA, internal transcribed spacer 1, and 5.8S ribosomal RNA
Source: RNAcentral